RNAcentral lists this ribosomal RNA (460 nucleotides) under uncultured bacterium. RNAcentral's name for it is "partial 16S ribosomal RNA". It matches the Rfam family "Bacterial small subunit ribosomal RNA", at positions 338 to 795 of the family's 1533-position model. The record is from RNAcentral.
CCUACGGGGGGCAGCAGUGAGGAAUAUUGGUCAAUGGACGCAAGUCUGAACCAGCCAUGCCGCGUGCAGGAAGACGGCCCUAUGAGUUGUAAACUGCUUUUGUACGAGGGUAAAUCCCGAUACGUGUAUCGGGUUGAAAGUAUCGUACGAAUAAGGAUCGGCUAACUCCGUGCCAGCAGCCGCGGUAAUACGGAGGAUUCAAGCGUUAUCCGGAUUUAUUGGGUUUAAAGGGUGCGUAGGCGGUUCGAUAAGUUAGGGGUGAAAUCCCGGGGCUCAACUCCGGCACUGCCUCUGAUACUGGCGGGCUAGAGUUUGGGAGCAGUAGGCGGAAUGUGUGGUGUAGCGGUGAAAUGCAUAGAUAUCAUACAGAACACCGAUUGCGAAGGCAGCUUACCGGACUACGACUGACGUUGAGGCACGAAAGCGUGGGGAGCGAACAGGAUUAGAUACCCUUGUAGUC